GCGGGAGUAGUUCAACUGGUUAGAGCACCGCCCUGUCACGGCGGAAGUUGCGGGUUCGAGUCCCGUCUCCCGCG
Molecule: transfer RNA, 74 nt
Filed under: Chlamydiales bacterium
Lineage: Bacteria; Pseudomonadati; Chlamydiota; Chlamydiia; Chlamydiales
Also listed under: 4 other names
Description: tRNA-Asp
Rfam family: tRNA
About the family: Transfer RNA (tRNA) molecules are approximately 80 nucleotides in length. Their secondary structure includes four short double-helical elements and three loops (D, anti-codon, and T loops).
Source: RNAcentral